This 253-nucleotide ribosomal RNA is filed under the name uncultured bacterium. RNAcentral describes it as "partial 16S ribosomal RNA". It matches the Rfam family "Bacterial small subunit ribosomal RNA", at positions 524 to 776 of the family's 1533-position model. The record is from RNAcentral.
UACGUAGGGUGCAAGCGUUAAUCGGAAUUACUGGGCGUAAAGCGUGCGCAGGCGGCUUUGCAAGACAGAUGUGAAAUCCCCGGGCUCAACCUGGGAACUGCAUUUGUGACUGCAUGGCUGGAGUGCGGCAGAGGGGGAUGGAAUUCCGCGUGUAGCAGUGAAAUGCGUAGAUAUCGGGAGGAACACCGGUGGCGAAGGCGGCUCACUGGGCCGGUCCUGACGCUCAGGCGCGAAAGCGUGGGGAGCGAUCCGG